UGGGGAAUAUUGGACAAUGGGCGAAAGCCUGAUCCAGCCAUGCCGCGUGAGUGACGAAGGCCUUAGGGUUGUAAAACUCUUUCGUCGGGGACGAUAAUGACGGUACCCGAAGAAGAAGCUCCGGCUAACUUCGUGCCAGCAGCCGCGGUAACACGAAGGGAGCUAGCGUUGUUCGGAAUCACUGGGCGUAAAGCGCACGUAGGCGGAUAGUUAAGUCAGGGGUGAAAUCCUGGGGCUCAACCCCAGAACUGCCUUUGAUACUGGCUGUCUCGAGGUCGAGAGAGGUUGGUGGAAUUCCUAGUGUAGAGGUGAAAUUCGUAGAUAUUAGGAAGAACACCAGUGGCGAAGGCGGCCAACUGGCUCGAUACUGACGCUGAGGUGCGAAAGCGUGGGGAGCAAACAGGAUUAGAUACCCCAGUAGUCCCUGAGCGGGCUGGCAAGGCGCAU
Molecule: ribosomal RNA, 447 nt
Filed under: uncultured bacterium
Lineage: Bacteria
Description: bacterial SSU rRNA
Rfam family: Bacterial small subunit ribosomal RNA
Source: RNAcentral